Molecule: ribosomal RNA, 679 nt
Filed under: Faecalibacterium prausnitzii
Lineage: Bacteria; Bacillati; Bacillota; Clostridia; Eubacteriales; Oscillospiraceae
Description: bacterial SSU rRNA
Rfam family: Bacterial small subunit ribosomal RNA
Source: RNAcentral
UGAGGAAGAUAAUGACGGUACUCAACAAGGAAGUGACGGCUAACUACGUGCCAGCAGCCGCGGUAAAACGUAGGUCACAAGCGUUGUCCGGAAUUACUGGGUGUAAAGGGAGCGCAGGCGGGAAGACAAGUUGGAAGUGAAAUCUAUGGGCUCAACCCAUAAACUGCUUUCAAAACUGUUUUUCUUGAGUAGUGCAGAGGUAGGCGGAAUUCCCGGUGUAGCGGUGGAAUGCGUAGAUAUCGGGAGGAACACCAGUGGCGAAGGCGGCCUACUGGGCACCAACUGACGCUGAGGCUCGAAAGUGUGGGUAGCAAACAGGAUUAGAUACCCUGGUAGUCCACACCGUAAACGAUGAUUACUAGGUGUUGGAGGAUUGACCCCUUCAGUGCCGCAGUUAACACAAUAAGUAAUCCACCUGGGGAGUACGACCGCAAGGUUGAAACUCAAAGGAAUUGACGGGGGCCCGCACAAGCAGUGGAGUAUGUGGUUUAAUUCGACGCAACGCGAAGAACCUUACCAAGUCUUGACAUCCCUUGACGAACAUAGAAAUAUGUUUUCUCUUCGGAGCAAGGAGACAGGUGGUGCAUGGUUGUCGUCAGCUCGUGUCGUGAGAUGUUGGGUUAAGUCCCGCAACGAGCGCAACCCUUAUGGUCAGUUACUACGCAAGAGGACUCUGGCC